Molecule: long non-coding RNA, 636 nt
Filed under: Pongo abelii (Sumatran orangutan)
Lineage: Eukaryota; Metazoa; Chordata; Mammalia; Primates; Hominidae
Description: lincRNA
Source: RNAcentral
GUCCAUUUAGCUGCUCUAAAAUGUGAGCUCCAAAUCAGGGGUCAUGUCUGGUUGGUUACCCAUUUCCUGGGUCCUAGAACGGGCCUAGCUCAGAGCAGGUGCUCACUAUUGAUGGAAUGCUUGUUGAAAGAAUGCAUGAAUCUCAUCUCCUUUUGUGGGUGAAAAACUCAUCCUAUUCUCAUUCCUGAUUAACUUUCUUUCUUUUUCUUUUUUUUUUCAAAAGGGAGCCAUGAUCUGUCACCCAGGUGGAGUGCAAUAGUGUGAUCUUAGCUCCCUGCAACCUCUGCCUUCUGGAUUAAAGAAAUUCUGCUGCCUCAGCCUCCCAUGUAGCUGGGAUUACAGGGGAGUCACUGAGCAGAAGGAAGCGAGUUGCCUGAGAUUCUUCAAAGCCCCAGCCCUUUUGGAGGUAGAAGUUGCUGGCCCCAUCUUGCUCACAAUCCUCCAAAGUUUGAAAGUUAUUUUCCAGGAGACUUGGCUUGCACUGAGAGUUGUCCUCCCACCCUCUCUCCAAAUUUCCUCUUGGGGGUAGCCUAACAAGGUACUGUCACAGACCCUUGCCAGCCACGAUGACCCCACCCAGACCAUCCCUCUGCUGUUUCACUCUUUGUUCCUCUCUGGAGCUCUCUGGGGAAGGGU